RNAcentral lists this long non-coding RNA (343 nucleotides) under Bos taurus (domestic cattle). RNAcentral describes it as "long non-coding RNA NONBTAT011773". The record is from RNAcentral. Lineage: Eukaryota; Metazoa; Chordata; Mammalia; Artiodactyla; Bovidae.
GCUUUAGACCAUUACAGCUCUGUUAGAAUGCAGAUUUCUGGGACUCCUCAAAGUACUUGAAUAUGAAAGUAACACAAGACCAUGGCUCACUAUAAAUAUAAAAGCUGUAUUUUGAAAAUUCUUAUUAAACAGUAUUUUCUAAUUUGUUUAACGUUCGUUUCUACUCUAAGACUUUAAUAAUUGAUUAUUACAUAGUAAGUGAACUCAAUAAGUAAUCAUGAUUAAGAUUAGGCUUAUAAUUAACCUAUAAAAUAAAACAGUCUUUCUAUUUUUUAGAGGAAAUAUUUCAAGGAAACAUUUCAAGUUGUUUUUUUGGUACUUGGGAAAAGAAUGUGUAUUGAUU